RNAcentral lists this ribosomal RNA (305 nucleotides) under uncultured bacterium. RNAcentral's name for it is "bacterial SSU rRNA". It matches the Rfam family "Bacterial small subunit ribosomal RNA", at positions 337 to 658 of the family's 1533-position model. The record is from RNAcentral.
GCCUACGGGGGGCAGCAGUCGGGAAUAUUGCACAAUGGAGGAAACUCUGAUGCAGUGACACCGCGUAUAGGAAGAAGUAUUUCGGUAUGUAAAGCUCUAUCAGCAGGGAAGAAAAAUGACGGUACCUGAGUAAGAAGCACCGGCUAAAUACGUGCCAGCGGCCGCGGUAAUACGUAUGGUGCAAGCGUUAUCCGGAUUUACUGGGUGUAAAGGGAGCGCAGGCGGUGCGGCAAGUCUGAUGUGAAAGCCCGGGGCUCAACCCCGGGACUGCAUUGGAAACUACCGAAAUAGAGUGUCGGAGAGGG